This 249-nucleotide small RNA is filed under the name Arabidopsis thaliana (thale cress). RNAcentral's name for it is "ATSL010620". Lineage: Eukaryota; Viridiplantae; Streptophyta; Magnoliopsida; Brassicales; Brassicaceae. The record is from RNAcentral.
AUAUAGUUAAUAAAAUACGUUUAUGCUAAUUUUAAGGGAUUGAUGUGAAGUUUGUUUGGAUUAAAUUUGAUUGAUAAUGUGAUUGACAAUUUAAAUUAAAAAUUUAAAGUAAAAUUAAUUAUUUUGGAAAAUAUUUAAUGUUAAUGGCAUUGGGUUGUAAAUAAGUCCAACUCUAAGAUUUAUUUGCUAAAAUGACUGCAAAAAUGUAUAUGUAGAUAGUUAAGGAAUAAAAUCCUUAAUAAUCUGAUU